UCAAAGGCUUUGGAGUGAAUCAAAGUUAGUUAAUAUAGCAUGAUAGAUGAUCCAUUAACCUUAAGAAAAAAAAUUUCCUAAAUCAAGGAUCAAUAGAACAUGAAGGCUUUACAAACCUGUAUAUCCUUCAUGUGUAUCCUUAACUGGACAGAUAUCUGUUAUGUUGAACAUGAGUAUACUUCAUGUGUAUCCUUAACUGGACAGAUAUUUGAGCUGUACCCAAAAAUAAUUACUUCAUGAGUGUAUUUCAUUCAUGCUUUCAAAUUUGAGAAAUUAUUAUUUUUGAAAAGAUUUGACUACUUAAUUCAGAGCUCCAGUCAAAUCUAUUUUGAAUAAUGACUUUUCAAAAAAAAUUAUUUUUGAUUCUAAAGAAGUACCCAUAAGAUCAGUAUUCUGUUAUGUUGAACAUGAGUGUACUUCAUGUGUAUCCUUAACUGGACAGAUAUCCUUAAACUAAUAAGUUGGUGUUGUCCUUACUACAAGUUUGUUGGGUCUUUAGCCAACAUUUUUUAAGGCUCAAGUAUUAGUUUUAUUAGGAUUAGGAUCCCCUGUCAUCGAUCUCUGCAAUGGUCUUGUUGUGAUAAUAGAAUGAUUCAAAUUUAAAGUUAAAACAAAACGAUCUAAUUUUGGAAUGUGUAAUGGAUAUUAUUUUGCUUUUAAAUUCAUAUCAUUGGAUUAUAUUUUUUGUUGACAUGUCUACCAUAAUAAGAUAAUUGAAACAAAAGAAUAACGAAGGUUCAUUGAUUGUAUUGAAAUCGAUGAUUUCAGUAAGCGAUUUUUUUCAAUGUUGGUACACUUUUCCUACCCUAGAUGGCUUUGCUCAAGAGGUACAAGAGUUUUCUAGAAUAUCACAGCUGGGAAGCACACAUACUCUGAACUGGUGUUGGAAAACCCCUCCCUAGUUUGCACACCAAACAAGUUGCAUAUUAAUUUGGUGUGAACCCCCCUCAUCUUUUGACUCUAUCUAAACAUUCCAUGGCUAUCCACAUACAUAUACAUAUGUUAUUUAUAUAAUCAUCCAUGUUAAUCUUAUGUUAAUCAUUGUUCACUCUGCUUUAUGAUAUGGGAUAGGUAUCACCAAUCACGAGUGUGAUUGUUUAAUAUAUGCAUUACUCUUCAAUUAUUAACUAUCAUAUGUGACAAUGAUAUAGUCAUGUCACAAAUAAAUCUGGACUGUCCAUUUACAUGGAAUGAAUGACCCAUAUGUGUUUAUGAUAUUAGAAUAGAAUAACUUUUUUAUUAGACCCGUCGAUGACUUCAUUGAAUUACAUGAGCUUGCAAGAUGUUUAAUCAAACAUUUCUUGACAUAAUUGUUCACUUGCAUGGUUGACUUCUGUGACUAUGAAUAUACAACUUAAGCCUCUUAUUGAAUGAUAGGUUGUGGAUUCACUCAGUAGUCAUCCUACUGUUCGGCCAAUGUCACAUCAACAACAAUCUCAUGCAUUUUCAUCCCAAGAGGUUCACCUUUCAAAGAAAGAGAAGAAGAAUAAGAAGAAACAGAAGAACUAACAAGGAAGAGGCUACCAAAAGCAAGUCUGCAGGAAAGGCAUAGCACCAGACUAUGAUCUCCGACAGCGAUUACACCGAGUUUGAAAACUUCUCAAAGUGGUUGGGAGUCUCCCAGUGAGAUUUUUCUGUCUUUGAGUUUUGUCUUGGUAUAAUAUCUUUAUCUAAUUGUUUUGUUUCAAGAGGAGUUAAUUUACUUUUUGUGGCAGUUUUGAGACAAGAUUUGAGUUUGGUGGGUUAUGUUUUAUGACAAGAUGGAUGGAUUUUUCAUUUUAGCAGAUCUGGAAUCAAAAUUUUACAAA
Camellia sinensis is the source of this 1808-nucleotide long non-coding RNA. RefSeq lists it as uncharacterized. The record is from RefSeq and is a predicted model, not a curated record. Lineage: Eukaryota; Viridiplantae; Streptophyta; Magnoliopsida; Ericales; Theaceae.